GAAAGAUCUAAUUGUUGUUUACGCAGCUGUUAAGGGUCAUGAGUCGCACAUGACCGAGGACGAGAACGAGACUGCUUCAAUUUGUAUUAAAACUAUGUGCGAAGUAAUUAGGGAGCAACAAUUUCAUUCCGACUUCGUAUCAAUGAUGGAAUGUGUUAACCAACGAAUUUGCGAGUCCGGCAAUAAGUAUCAGACGUGCGUGGAAAUGGACAGUCAGCUGACAAAGAAGCUUUUCCUUUUCGAAACCAAAACGGAAAAGGAAGGGGAACCUCUAUCAGCCAGUGCCUUGGGAGGUAGUACCCAGACUCGACUCGGGUAGGUGUUGAGGCAAGAUUGGCUUAAUAAUUAACACAUGUUCGAGUCAGGUUAUCUAACGUGAUCAAAUACUUACCGUAUUGUCCAAAGUUGUUUGUCCACAAUUUUUUGUCAUGUGUCACCAACUUUAUGUAGUUAGCUUGGACAAGUAAAGAAAUGAAAGAGUGAAUGAACCUUCCGUGGGCAUUUGUUUAAAAAUAUGUUUGUGUUAAAGUGGUAGCCUUCGUGAAUUUUAGGUAAAACCUAGUUGUAAUUGUUGAUGGCUUUCAUGUUAUAUUUAAAAAUAAGCGUGGAUUAUUCAAAGAAAAACGUGUCCUUUUUUGGAUAAAAAGGCAGAUUUGUUGAAUAUAUCGGUCUUUGAGUAUUAAUGAAUGAUAAAGGCAUUUAUUUAAAUGUUGAAACACUGAAACAAAUAAACUGAUUGAGUAAUUAAUGUACCUUAAUGAUUUUUUUAUAAAUUUUGAAUGUCAAAUCUAUGUUAUGUUUACAAAUAACAAUUAAAAGAAAUCCACUUAUCCAAAAUUGAAGCGAGACUACGUUUAUGUAAUGCUUCCAGCACAACAAGAGUAGGACUGUGUUUCAUAUAAACAUUAUAAUGUUAUGCCGGAUUUAACUUUUAUUUCGGAUUGAAUCCUUAAAACUAAUACAUUCAUUCAUAUAUUUCUUGUUUGUUUCAAAUAACUUAAGUUAAAGUAGCUUUACCUCCGAUGCAUAUCAUUAUGCUUGCUCUUAGUAUGUACCUCCUAUGCAAUGUUUUGGACAUGCUACAUUAAUGUACUCUGGUAAGCAUUUUAGAAAUAUUGGACCGAUGUAUGAUAUCAACUAUGACUUGAUACACUUUAUUUACUUUACAUGUAGCUUAUAGGUUCGAGUCCAGAUUGUUGUUUGUGUUGAGAUGUUUGCAUUUCGGAAAUUGCAUGUAAGAGGUGUGCAUUCAGUUUGUUUGAAACCAAAGAAAGGGUCGGAUGUGAAACCAUUGUAUAAAUACUGCUUCUGAUAAAAAGGUUUAAACUAACCGAGUAAAUGUUUCCAAGUUGACAAUUUUCACAAUUGAAAUGCACAAAAUUUGGACAACUAAAUAAAAAAGGUUCAGUGCCUUUACCCUAUAUGUAUAUACAUGUUAUUUAAAACGAUAUAUUUAAAUGUUGUGUUAUUCUGCGUCAACAGUUUAGUUCGAACCUUUUCUUUAAAACAAAUAUUUAUGUUCAGCUAUUUCAUGGUGUGUGAUUAAAAAAACGAUUCAAGUAAAAUAGCUAUUCUUCAGUAACAUUACAUAAAGCGUGCUCCUACUAUGUCAAUUGUAUCUUCUUUAUGCAAUAUUUAAAACAAAAUCAAUACAAUUGGGAUCUAUUAUUU
Long non-coding RNA from Mya arenaria, 1671 nucleotides. RefSeq lists it as uncharacterized. Lineage: Eukaryota; Metazoa; Mollusca; Bivalvia; Myida; Myidae. The transcript is spliced from 3 exons. The record is from RefSeq and is a predicted model, not a curated record.